This 2923-nucleotide ribosomal RNA is filed under the name Klebsiella pneumoniae. RNAcentral's name for it is "bacterial LSU rRNA". It matches the Rfam family "Bacterial large subunit ribosomal RNA". The record is from RNAcentral. RNAcentral also lists the same sequence under 1 other name. Lineage: Bacteria; Pseudomonadati; Pseudomonadota; Gammaproteobacteria; Enterobacterales; Enterobacteriaceae.
GGGUUGUGAGGUUAAGCGACUAAGCGUACACGGUGGAUGCCCUGGCAGUCAGAGGCGAUGAAGGACGUGCUAAUCUGCGAAAAGCGUCGGUAAGGUGAUAUGAACCGUUAUAACCGGCGAUGUCCGAAUGGGGAAACCCAGUGCAAUUCGUUGCACUAUCGUUAACUGAAUACAUAGGUUAACGAGGCGAACCGGGGGAACUGAAACAUCUAAGUACCCCGAGGAAAAGAAAUCAACCGAGAUUCCCCCAGUAGCGGCGAGCGAACGGGGAGCAGCCCAGAGUCUGAAUCAGCUUGUGUGUUAGUGGAACGGUCUGGAAAGUCCGACGGUACAGGGUGAUAGUCCCGUACACCAAAAUGCACAGGCUGUGAACUCGAAGAGUAGGGCGGGACACGUGGUAUCCUGUCUGAAUAUGGGGGGACCAUCCUCCAAGGCUAAAUACUCCUGACUGACCGAUAGUGAACCAGUACCGUGAGGGAAAGGCGAAAAGAACCCCGGCGAGGGGAGUGAAAAAGAACCUGAAACCGUGUACGUACAAGCAGUGGGAGCACCUUCGGGUGUGACUGCGUACCUUUUGUAUAAUGGGUCAGCGACUUAUAUUCUGUAGCAAGGUUAACCGUAUAGGGGAGCCGCAGGGAAACCGAGUCUUAACUGGGCGUUAAGUUGCAGGGUAUAGACCCGAAACCCGGUGAUCUAGCCAUGGGCAGGUUGAAGGUUGGGUAACACUAACUGGAGGACCGAACCGACUAAUGUUGAAAAAUUAGCGGAUGACUUGUGGCUGGGGGUGAAAGGCCAAUCAAACCGGGAGAUAGCUGGUUCUCCCCGAAAGCUAUUUAGGUAGCGCCUCGUGAAUUCAUCUUCGGGGGUAGAGCACUGUUUCGGCUAGGGGGUCAUCCCGACUUACCAACCCGAUGCAAACUACGAAUACCGAAGAAUGUUAUCACGGGAGACACACGGCGGGUGCUAACGUCCGUCGUGAAGAGGGAAACAACCCAGACCGCCAGCUAAGGUCCCAAAGUCAUGGUUAAGUGGGAAACGAUGUGGGAAGGCACAGACAGCCAGGAUGUUGGCUUAGAAGCAGCCAUCAUUUAAAGAAAGCGUAAUAGCUCACUGGUCGAGUCGGCCUGCGCGGAAGAUGUAACGGGGCUAAACCAUGCACCGAAGCUGCGGCAGCGACACUAUGUGUUGUUGGGUAGGGGAGCGUUCUGUAAGCCUGCGAAGGUGACCUGUGAGGGUUGCUGGAGGUAUCAGAAGUGCGAAUGCUGACAUAAGUAACGAUAAAGCGGGUGAAAAGCCCGCUCGCCGGAAGACCAAGGGUUCCUGUCCAACGUUAAUCGGGGCAGGGUGAGUCGACCCCUAAGGCGAGGCCGAAAGGCGUAGUCGAUGGGAAACAGGUUAAUAUUCCUGUACUUGGUGUUACUGCGAAGGGGGGACGGAGAAGGCUAUGUUAGCCGGGCGACGGUUGUCCCGGUUUAAGCAUGUAGGCUGGUUGUCCAGGCAAAUCCGGAUAAUCAAGGCUGAGGUGUGAUGACGAGGCACUACGGUGCUGAAGUAACAAAUGCCCUGCUUCCAGGAAAAGCCUCUAAGCAUCAGGUAACAUUAAAUCGUACCCCAAACCGACACAGGUGGUCAGGUAGAGAAUACCAAGGCGCUUGAGAGAACUCGGGUGAAGGAACUAGGCAAAAUGGUGCCGUAACUUCGGGAGAAGGCACGCUGGUGUGUAGGUGAAGUCCCUGCGGAUGGAGCUGAGACCAGUCGAAGAUACCAGCUGGCUGCAACUGUUUAUUAAAAACACAGCACUGUGCAAACACGAAAGUGGACGUAUACGGUGUGACGCCUGCCCGGUGCCGGAAGGUUAAUUGAUGGGGUUAUCCGUAAGGAGAAGCUCUUGAUCGAAGCCCCGGUAAACGGCGGCCGUAACUAUAACGGUCCUAAGGUAGCGAAAUUCCUUGUCGGGUAAGUUCCGACCUGCACGAAUGGCGUAAUGAUGGCCAGGCUGUCUCCACCCGAGACUCAGUGAAAUUGAACUCGCUGUGAAGAUGCAGUGUACCCGCGGCAAGACGGAAAGACCCCGUGAACCUUUACUAUAGCUUGACACUGAACAUUGAGCCUUGAUGUGUAGGAUAGGUGGGAGGCUUUGAAGCGUGGACGCCAGUCUGCGUGGAGCCAACCUUGAAAUACCACCCUUUAAUGUUUGAUGUUCUAACGUUGGCCCCUUACCGGGGUUGCGGACAGUGUCUGGUGGGUAGUUUGACUGGGGCGGUCUCCUCCCAAAGCGUAACGGAGGAGCACGAAGGUUAGCUAAUCCUGGUCGGACAUCAGGAGGUUAGUGCAAUGGCAUAAGCUAGCUUGACUGCGAGCGUGACGGCGCGAGCAGGUGCGAAAGCAGGUCAUAGUGAUCCGGUGGUUCUGAAUGGAAGGGCCAUCGCUCAACGGAUAAAAGGUACUCCGGGGAUAACAGGCUGAUACCGCCCAAGAGUUCAUAUCGACGGCGGUGUUUGGCACCUCGAUGUCGGCUCAUCACAUCCUGGGGCUGAAGUAGGUCCCAAGGGUAUGGCUGUUCGCCAUUUAAAGUGGUACGCGAGCUGGGUUUAGAACGUCGUGAGACAGUUCGGUCCCUAUCUGCCGUGGGCGCUGGAGAAUUGAGGGGGGCUGCUCCUAGUACGAGAGGACCGGAGUGGACGCAUCACUGGUGUUCGGGUUGUCAUGCCAAUGGCACUGCCCGGUAGCUAAAUGCGGAAGAGAUAAGUGCUGAAAGCAUCUAAGCACGAAACUUGCCCCGAGAUGAGUUCUCCCUGAGACUUUAAGUCUCCUGAAGGAACGUUAAAGACGAUGACGUUGAUAGGCCGGGUGUGUAAGCGCAGCGAUGCGUUGAGCUAACCGGUACUAAUGAACCGUGAGGCUUAACCUUACAACGCCGAAG